AUUGAACGCUGGCGGCAGGCCUAACACAUGCAAGUCGAACGAGUGGCGGACGGGUGAGUAAUGUCUGGGAAACUGCCCGAUGGAGGGGGAUAACUACUGGAAACGGUAGCUAAUACCGCAUACCAUCGGAUGUGCCCAGGUGGGAUUAGCUAGUAGGUGGGGUAACGGCUCACCUAGGCGACGAUCCCUAGCUGGUCUGAGAGGAUGACCAUCAACACUGGAACUGAGACACGGUCCAGACUCCUACGGUAGGCAGCAGUGGGGAAUAUUGCAGAAUGGGCGCGAGCCUGAUGCAGCCGUGCCGCGUGUAUGAAGAAGGCCUUCGGGUUGUAAAGUACUUUCAGCGGGGAGGCGUUACCCGCAGAAGAGGCAGCGGCUAACUCCGUGCCAGCAGCCGCGGUAAUUC
RNAcentral lists this ribosomal RNA (406 nucleotides) under uncultured bacterium. Its description in RNAcentral is "partial 16S ribosomal RNA". It matches the Rfam family "Bacterial small subunit ribosomal RNA", at positions 30 to 526 of the family's 1533-position model. The record is from RNAcentral.